AACGAGCGCAACCCCUGCAUUCAGUUGCCAUCGGGUGAAGCCGGGCACUCUGGAAGGACUGCCAUCGACAAGAUGGAGGAAGGUGGGGACGACGUCAAGUCAUCAUGGCCCUUAUGUCCAGGGCGACACACGUGCUACAAUGGCCGGCACAACGGGAAGCGAGUCGCGAGGACGAGCGGAUCCCUUAAAGCCGGUCGCAGUUCGGAUUGAAGUCCGCAACUCGACUUCAUGAAGCUGGAAUCGCUAGUAAUCGCAGAUCAGCCAAGCUGCGGUGAAUACGUUCCCGGGCCUU
RNAcentral lists this ribosomal RNA (292 nucleotides) under uncultured Synergistaceae bacterium. Its description in RNAcentral is "partial 16S ribosomal RNA". It matches the Rfam family "Bacterial small subunit ribosomal RNA", at positions 1091 to 1382 of the family's 1533-position model. Lineage: Bacteria; Thermotogati; Synergistota; Synergistia; Synergistales; Synergistaceae. The record is from RNAcentral.